RNAcentral lists this long non-coding RNA (1465 nucleotides) under Pavo cristatus (Indian peafowl). Its description in RNAcentral is "lncRNA (ENSPSTG00000018970.1)". Lineage: Eukaryota; Metazoa; Chordata; Aves; Galliformes; Phasianidae. The record is from RNAcentral.
UGCAUAAUUAAUCCAUGCCCUAAAAACUACCCACUGCUCUAAGCAGCCUGAGAACUGACAGGAAGUGCUGUGAAAUGAGGUCUCCUGUAAAGCUCUGCUGUCCCCAUGAGUCAUUUGUAGGGUCUGCCAGCCCCAGGGUGUCACCUGGCUUCAGCUCUCACCACGGCCACAUUUGGGAGGAAGACAGAAUUAUGUAGUACAUAAUUAAUCCUACAUUUCAGCUCUGACUCCAGGGGGAGGGUGGGGGUGAAAGGAGAGGUCGGCUCUGCAUAUCUCCCCCUCUCCCAUCACCCACUUGUACCUGCCUGCAGGGAUUUGGUUUUCAUCACCUAGGCAAAAAGGGAAACUGGGAGAAGAGCAACAAAAAUGGAAUCUGCAAGGAAACACAGAGGAAACUGUAAAGCAACAUCUGACAGUCAUGUCUGGCCAACCCAUGAAGAUUCCUCCCAGUAAAAACAUGGAGGACAGCUUUACCUUUCUGGGCAGGAGUAUCCAGGAGAGCAGGAAAGGAGACCACCCUACCCCAGGCCAACAAGGGCAGGCAGAGACUUGGUGGUGGUGAGAUGACCAGGAUACCCUCCUGCCCACUGCUGGCGCAAGGGUCUGUGGACUCCUUCCUCUUGUCCCAUUGUCCUCCCAUUCCAUCAUGGUUCCUGGGGCCUUAGCAACAGUGUCCUCUCCUUGUUGGUCACCGCUCCUUUGCUACUAAGCACAACUCAGCAGGCAAGGAGAGGGUGGUUCCCACCAGCUUGCAGUCUGUCCCAGAUGUUUCCACAGGGCUGAGGGAUGCUGGUAGCAGUGCAGGGUCUUGCCUUAGUGGAGGACAUGUGAGACCACAUCAUGGAGGUCAGACUGCUGGUUUUCUGAAAGCAGUAUGCUGAUCUGCAAGCUUGUUGUGUGUUUCUCCACGAGGACAGCCCAGACAUGCCAUCCUUGGACCCAUCUGUUGAAGUCAUGGUGGAAGGUUUCCAUCCAAGGACUUUCUCACUGUUUUUUUUUCUCUCAGAGCCUUCUGAUAUACAUUGUACCCUCAGCCCUCUCUGCCAUGAGCUGUCCCCACUGUCCCCAGUUCAAUAUCAUCCUCAUCCCUGCUGGUGUUGAGGCAUCGAGUGACUGCGUGGCAUCCUAUCCUGCCAUCCUCCAAAAGGCUCUCUGGCUUGGGCUGGAUGUAUCAGGCAGUAGAAAACCACCUGUGGAAGGACCUUCCCCAGUGGUGACCUCGAGGUGGAUUGAAGCUGGAGUUCCUGCAGUGCUCAUUCAUCAGUCUCCGUCAAGGGAAAGAGAAGAACCAUCCAUUCCCCAAGCAGAAGAGGAUUCUUGUGUAGCCAGUGCUCUUCAGACCAUUCAGACAUGUCUGCUGCUAUCUGAGAUGAGUGACUGCUGGGAGAACAUUUUGUCCCCCAAGAUUUAUGUUAGACAGCUAUGGACAAGGGUACGUUCCUUACUCUGUAAAUCAAAGAUCUAA